Molecule: ribosomal RNA, 250 nt
Filed under: uncultured bacterium
Lineage: Bacteria
Also listed under: 1 other name
Description: partial 16S ribosomal RNA
Rfam family: Bacterial small subunit ribosomal RNA
Source: RNAcentral
UACGAAGGGGGCUAGCGUUGCUCGGAAUCACUGGGCGUAAAGGGCGCGUAGGCGGCCAUUCAAGUCGGGGGUGAAAGCCUGUGGCUCAACCACAGAAUUGCCUUCGAUACUGUUUGGCUUGAGUUUGGUAGAGGUUGGUGGAACUGCGAGUGUAGAGGUGAAAUUCGUAGAUAUUCGCAAGAACACCAGUGGCGAAGGCGGCCAACUGGACCAACACUGACGCUGAGGCGCGAAAGUGUGGGGAGCAAAC